Molecule: ribosomal RNA, 503 nt
Filed under: uncultured bacterium
Lineage: Bacteria
Description: bacterial SSU rRNA
Rfam family: Bacterial small subunit ribosomal RNA
Source: RNAcentral
CUACGUGCCAGCAGCCGCGGUAAUACGUAGGUCCCGAGCGUUGUCCGGAUUUAUUGGGCGUAAAGCGAGCGCAGGCGGUUUGAUAAGUCUGAAGUUAAAGGCUGUGGCUCAACCAUAGUUCGCUUUGGAAACUGUCAAACUUGAGUGCAGAAGGGGAGAGUGGAAUUCCAUGUGUAGCGGUGAAAUGCGUAGAUAUAUGGAGGAACACCGGUGGCGAAAGCGGCUCUCUGGUCUGUAACUGACGCUGAGGCUCGAAAGCGUGGGGAGCGAACAGGAUUAGAUACCCUGGUAGUCCACGCCGUAAACGAUGAGUGCUAGGUGUUGGAUCCUUUCCGGGAUUCAGUGCCGCAGCUAACGCAUUAAGCACUCCGCCUGGGGAGUACGACCGCAAGGUUGAAACUCAAAGGAAUUGACGGGGGCCCGCACAAGCGGUGGAGCAUGUGGUUUAAUUCGAAGCAACGCGAAGAACCUUACCAGGUCUUGACAUCCCGAUGCUAUUUCUA